UCGAGGAUCUUCGGCAAUGGGCGCAAGCCUGACCGAGCGACGCCGCGUGUGGGAUGAAGGCCUUCGGGUUGUAAACCACUGUCAGAGGGGAUGAAAUGCGUAGGGGUUCUCUCCUACGUUUGACAUAUCCUCAGAGGAAGUACGGGCUAAGUUCGUGCCAGCAGCCGCGGUAAGACGAACCGUACAAACGUUAUUCGGAAUCACUGGGCUUAAAGGGUGCGUAGGCGGCGGUGCAAGUUGGGUGUGAAAU
RNAcentral lists this ribosomal RNA (250 nucleotides) under uncultured bacterium. RNAcentral's name for it is "partial 16S ribosomal RNA". It matches the Rfam family "Bacterial small subunit ribosomal RNA", at positions 355 to 600 of the family's 1533-position model. The record is from RNAcentral.